UUUUUUUGUUUGGCGGGCCUUUGAUUGCUAAUAAUUUCUACUAGGUUUUUUGUGUGCUAUUCUUUUCAUUUUCAAUUUUUAUAAAAUUUCGUAAAAAAAUCAAUGGCUGUAUAUUACAAGUUUAAGAGUGCAAGAGAUUAUGAUUCAAUCCCAAUGGACGGUCCAUUUGUAUCGGUUGGUACUUUGAAAGAAAAAAUUUUUGAAUCAAAGCACUUGGGCAGGGGUACAGACUUCGACCUUCUGGUCACUAACGCCCAAACUAAUGAAGGUUGGUGUCCUUCUAUCUAGGUGUAAUGGAUC
RNAcentral lists this unclassified non-coding RNA (300 nucleotides) under Hevea brasiliensis (rubber tree). Lineage: Eukaryota; Viridiplantae; Streptophyta; Magnoliopsida; Malpighiales; Euphorbiaceae. The record is from RNAcentral.